AUUGAACGCUGGCGGCAUGCCUUACACAUGCAAGUCGAACGGUAACAGGUUAAGCUGACGAGUGGCGAACGGGUGAGUAAUAUAUCGGAACGUGCCCAGUAGUGGGGGAUAGCCCGGCGAAAGCCGGAAUAAUACCGCAUACGACCUACGGGUGAAAGCGGGGGACCGAAAGGCCUCGCGCUAUUGGAGCGGCCGAUGCCCGAUUAGGUAGUUGGUGAGGUAAAGGCUCACCAAGGCGACGAUCGGUAGCUGGUCUGAGAGGACGACCAGCCACACUGGGACUGAGACACGGCCCAGACUCCUACGGGAGGCAGCAGUGGGGAAUUUUGGACAAUGGGGGAAACCCUGAUCCAGCCAUGCCGCGUGCGGGAAGAAGGCCUUCGGGUUGUAAACCGCUUUUGGCAGGAACGAAACGGCGCGCGCCAAUACCGCGCGCUAAUGACGGUACCUGCAGAAUAAGCACCGGCUAACUACGUGCCAGCCGCCGCCGUAA
Molecule: ribosomal RNA, 493 nt
Filed under: uncultured bacterium
Lineage: Bacteria
Description: partial 16S ribosomal RNA
Rfam family: Bacterial small subunit ribosomal RNA
Source: RNAcentral